Dermatophagoides farinae (American house dust mite) is the source of this 413-nucleotide non-coding RNA. Lineage: Eukaryota; Metazoa; Arthropoda; Arachnida; Sarcoptiformes; Pyroglyphidae. The record is from RefSeq and is a predicted model, not a curated record.
CAAAGAAACGGUACAAAUAUAAUUUGGUUUGUUUUUUUUUCUUCAACACACACACACACACAAGAUGAUAGAUGACUUCAUCGACAUUGACAACGAAACUUUUAUGAAAAAAAAAUUUAGAACUGAAAUUUCAAUUUUUUUCAAGAAAUAAAAAAAAAAAUAGUUCGUUUGUUGGUCGGCGUGUUUUUUUUUUUUCGUUUUACCUGCCAUGGUUUCCAAGACAUUGUCUUGUUUCUGUUUGAUAAUUCAAUUCGUAAGAAAAAACCGAAAAAAAAAUGAAAAUGACUUUUCUAUACGCACCCACCAUUAAAUCAUUCAUCAUCUAAAUUGGUUUAUUCGAUUGAUGAUGGCUAACCAUCACCGAAGCAAUCAUUGUUGUGUGAUGUGUUAAAUUAAUUGAUUGAUUGAUUGAU